RNAcentral lists this ribosomal RNA (847 nucleotides) under Flavobacterium sp. B169. Its description in RNAcentral is "bacterial SSU rRNA". It matches the Rfam family "Bacterial small subunit ribosomal RNA", at positions 28 to 881 of the family's 1533-position model. The record is from RNAcentral. Lineage: Bacteria; Pseudomonadati; Bacteroidota; Flavobacteriia; Flavobacteriales; Flavobacteriaceae.
GAUGAACGCUAGCGGCAGGCUUAACACAUGCAAGUCGAGGGGUAGAGUUCUUCGGAGCUUGAGACCGGCGCACGGGUGCGUAACGCGUAUGCAAUCUGCCUUUCACAGAGGGAUAGCCCAGAGAAAUUUGGAUUAAUACCUCAUAGUAUUAUAGAAUGGCAUCAUUUUAUAAUUAAAGUCACAACGGUGAAAGAUGAGCAUGCGUCCCAUUAGCUAGUUGGUAAGGUAACGGCUUACCAAGGCAACGAUGGGUAGGGGUCCUGAGAGGGAGAUCCCCCACACUGGUACUGAGACACGGACCAGACUCCUACGGGAGGCAGCAGUGAGGAAUAUUGGACAAUGGGCGCAAGCCUGAUCCAGCCAUGCCGCGUGCAGGAUGACGGUCCUAUGGAUUGUAAACUGCUUUUGCACAGGAAGAAACAGCUCUACGUGUAGAGUCUUGACGGUACUGUGAGAAUAAGGAUCGGCUAACUCCGUGCCAGCAGCCGCGGUAAUACGGAGGAUCCAAGCGUUAUCCGGAAUCAUUGGGUUUAAAGGGUCCGUAGGCGGUUUAGUAAGUCAGUGGUGAAAGCCCAUCGCUCAACGGUGGAACGGCCAUUGAUACUGCUGAACUUGAAUUAUUAGGAAGUAACUAGAAUAUGUAGUGUAGCGGUGAAAUGCUUAGAGAUUACAUGGAAUACCAAUUGCGAAGGCAGGUUACUACUAAUGGAUUGACGCUGAUGGACGAAAGCGUGGGUAGCGAACAGGAUUAGAUACCCUGGUAGUCCACGCCGUAAACGAUGGAUACUAGCUGUUGGAAGCAAUUUCAGUGGCUAAGCGAAAGUGAUAAGUAUCCCACCUGGGGGAG